ACAGAGGAGAGAGGGAGGAAGGGAGAGAAGGGGCUGGCCCCAGCACCAGCCAGUGUGGGAAUGACUGAUCCCAGGAGCAGGAAGGUCACACAGGAAGUGGCCUUGAGGUGGCGCCGGAGGCAGGAGGGGAGUGGAGGGUGGCGUUUCCACGGCACAGCGGUCAUGGGACAAAGUUGGACGGAAAUUGCACUUGAGGAUGCUCCCUGGCCAAGGCCAAGUCGCCUGGGGAGGAAGGACAGACUUCCUGGAUGGACACUGGGACGCCGAGCCCUGGGGAGGAGGGCAAGGGUGGAGGCUGUGGUGUUGCUGGGGCCGUGGGGUCUCUCCAGGCCGUGGGCCAGGACCUCUGACAAAGCCCGAACAGAGCAUGGUGUCAGGAGCGCGUGCUGGAUGGGGAAGCAGAGGGAUGUGGAAGCCCUGGCUGGGUGAAGGCUGUGGUGUCUGCCCGCCCCACGGCCCACAGAGUCACCGAUUACGGGAACAUCCAACGUACCAUCCUGAGCUUGUGGGGCCUAAGGGCCCGUUUCCACCACCUGCUGUGUGAUCUUGGGCUACCUACAUCGCCUCUCUGAGUCUUGUUUUCCUCAUUUGCAACUGAAGAUAAUAAUAGUAUCUAAAUCAAUUAUGAGGAUGAAAUGAGUUAACUCAUGUAAAGUGCUUAGCACAGAGUAAGUACUAAAUGAAGAUUGCUACUGCAAGACUGGGCGGGUGGAUAAUUCAUGCUUUUGCUCCAAGGUGAGGUUGCCCUGUCUGCCAAUCUAUCAGAGCUAGGGAAGUGGGAGGCUUUCCCCUGUGGGAUGUAGACUGGAGGGGGCCAACAGCUCUCACUGAGCAUGGAGGCAUAGCUGCAGUGCUCUGGGUUGGCAAGGGAGGGAAGGUGAGACCUGCAGUCGCCCUUCCUCAUCCAGGUCUGCCCCUUCAAUCCUUCAUCUCCUCCUUGGCAGAUCCCUUAUAUCCUCCACAAAUGGGUCACUCUUGCCAGGGGACAAGCUCCCUGGGGACACAUCUUACCACCGUAAAGCUGUAGCAUUAUAAGAACACAAAAAGGCAGGCCAGCCUGACCAACAUGGAGAAGCCCUGCCUCUACUAAAAAUACAAAAUUAGCCAGGCUUGGUGGCGUAUGCCUGUAAUCCCAGCUACUCGGGAGGCCGAGGCAGGAGAAUUGCUUGAACCCGGGAGGCGGAAGUUGCGGUGAGCCAAGAUCACGCCAUUGCACUCCAGCCGGGGCAAUGAGCGAAACUCCGUCUCAAAAAAAAAGAAAAAUAAAAAAGCAACUUAAAACCCUAUCUGGCCUCUUUGCUGUCUUAAAAAACACAAACAUCAUGAAUGGGGCUAAGCAUCUGGUCCGGUGUC
RNAcentral lists this long non-coding RNA (1353 nucleotides) under Homo sapiens (human). Its description in RNAcentral is "HSALNT0168035". Lineage: Eukaryota; Metazoa; Chordata; Mammalia; Primates; Hominidae. The record is from RNAcentral.